RNAcentral lists this long non-coding RNA (240 nucleotides) under Eutrema salsugineum. RNAcentral describes it as "long non-coding RNA (ESAL_LNC000770)". Lineage: Eukaryota; Viridiplantae; Streptophyta; Magnoliopsida; Brassicales; Brassicaceae. The record is from RNAcentral.
UUCUUCUCUUAAUCUCUACACUAAUCUCUAUAAUCUCUUAAUCUUUAAUCGUUUUCAUCAUUCUACUUCAUUCUCUCUCAACCGAUUCUUCUUUGUUCUUUUCUCUGUUCUUGUUGUACUCGUGUUCUGGAUCUUGUUCUUCUCAUAAAUCUCUUGUUUCUUAAAUCUCUUUUGAAAACAAAAUGAGUUCCAGUGAUGUUAACAUCGAGAGCUCAAAAACGGUGGUCAUUCCAGUUAUCC